UGGAUUCUGCAACAAUGAAACCAACCCAUAAAGCAGAUGACGAUGUCAUCAUUUUAGAAGAAUACCAGUCUGUAGAAUGUGGAGGUGAAGCAGAUAAGCCUAAUCAGGAGGUGCCAAAAAGAGAAACUCGCCACCCCGCGAAAAAGACUGAAGCAGCUGCUGGAUGCAGCACGACUUUUGA
This is a long non-coding RNA of Polypterus senegalus (gray bichir), 181 nucleotides long. RefSeq lists it as uncharacterized. The record is from RefSeq and is a predicted model, not a curated record. The transcript is spliced from 2 exons. Lineage: Eukaryota; Metazoa; Chordata; Cladistia; Polypteriformes; Polypteridae.